AUAUCUCCCCAUCUAACCUUAUAUAACCCCAUCUAACCCUAUAUAUCUCCCCAUAUAACCCCAUAUAACCCCAUCUAACCCCAUAUUCCCCCCAUAUAACCCCAUAUUUCCCCCAUAUCAUCCCAUAUAACCCCGUAUACCCCUAUCUAACCCCAUGUAACCCUAUAUAUCUCCCCAUAUAUCCCCCAUCUAACCCCAUGUAACCCUAUGUAUCUCCCCAUAUAUCCCCCAUCUAACCCUAUAUAACCCCAUAUAACCCCGUAUUCCCCCCAUAUAAUCCCAUCUAACCCCAUAUAUCUCCCCAUAUAACCCCAUAUAUCCCCCAUCUAACCCCAUCUAACCCCAUCUAACCCCAUAUAACCCCAUAUAUCUCCCCAUAUAACCCCAUAUAUCCCCCAUAUAGACCCACAUAAUCUCGCAUAUUCCCCCCAUAUAACGCCCAUCUAACCCGGCCUGUCUAUCUGGGUACCCCCGGCAGCCUGGAGCUCGUCGCGGACGUUCCACAUUUGCAACGAUUUGGAGCAGAGGCCCGGCUCAGGGGUGGGGGGGGGAGCCCCGACUGCGUCUGGCUGUGGCACAACACGUGAUGAGGGAGCUCAGGGCACUGCUGGGGAGGAUGGAGGCCGGGAUGAUGGUUGGGGCCAUGCAGGAGCCUGAGCUGCAGCCCGGGAUGGAGCCGGAGCCGCAGCCUGGGAACGAGACGGAGCUGGAGACGGAGACUGAGGUGGGGGGGGGUCCUAAAUGGGGCCAUAAAUGGGGAUAUAGGGGUUCUGAAUGGGGUUGGAGUGGUCCUAAAUGGGGUUAGAGGGACCCUAAAUGGGGAUAUAGGGGUUCUAAAUGGGGUCACAGGGGUUCUAAUGGGGUUGGAGUGGCCUUAAAUGGGGUCAGGGUGGUUCUAAAUGGGGUUGGAGUGGCCCUAAAUGGGGAUAGAUGGGUUCUAAUGGGGUUGGAAUGGCCUUAAAUGGGGUCGGGGGGUUCUAAUGGGGUUGGAGGGACCCUAAAUGGGGAUAGAGUGGCCCUAAAUGGGGUCAAAAUGGCCCUAAAUGGGGAUAAAAUGGCCCUAAAUGGGGUCAAGGGACCCUAAAUGGGGAUAAAAUGGCCCUAAAUGGGGAUAAAAUGGCCCUAAAUAGGGUCAAAAUGGCC
This 1143-nucleotide long non-coding RNA is filed under the name Coturnix japonica (Japanese quail). RNAcentral's name for it is "lncRNA (ENSCJPG00005002585.1)". The record is from RNAcentral. Lineage: Eukaryota; Metazoa; Chordata; Aves; Galliformes; Phasianidae.